This 253-nucleotide ribosomal RNA is filed under the name uncultured bacterium. Its description in RNAcentral is "partial 16S ribosomal RNA". It matches the Rfam family "Bacterial small subunit ribosomal RNA", at positions 524 to 776 of the family's 1533-position model. The record is from RNAcentral.
AACGUAGGGGACAAGCGUUAUCCGGAUUUACUGGGCGUAAAGCGCCCGUAGGCGGCUAGAUAAGUUGGACGUGAAAGCUCCCGGCUUAACUGGGAGAGGCCGUUCAAAACUGUCGAGCUAGAGUGAGGAAGAGGAGAGCGGAAUUCCCGGUGUAGUGGUGGAAUGCGUAGAGAUCGGGAGGAACACCAGUGGCGAAAGCGGCUCUCUGGUCCUAAACUGACGCUGAGGGGCGAAAGCGUGGGGAGCGAACGGG